RNAcentral lists this transfer RNA (75 nucleotides) under Mycobacterium sp. RNAcentral's name for it is "tRNA-Thr". It matches the Rfam family "tRNA". From Rfam's summary of the family: Transfer RNA (tRNA) molecules are approximately 80 nucleotides in length. Their secondary structure includes four short double-helical elements and three loops (D, anti-codon, and T loops). Further hydrogen bonds mediate the characteristic L-shaped molecular structure. tRNAs have two regions of fundamental functional importance: the anti-codon, which is responsible for specific mRNA codon recognition, and the 3' end, to which the tRNAs corresponding amino acid is attached (by aminoacyl-tRNA synthetases). tRNAs cope with the degeneracy of the genetic code in two manners: having more than one tRNA (with a specific anti-codon) for a particular amino acid; and 'wobble' base-pairing, i.e. permitting non-standard base-pairing at the 3rd anti-codon position. Lineage: Bacteria; Bacillati; Actinomycetota; Actinomycetes; Mycobacteriales; Mycobacteriaceae. RNAcentral also lists the same sequence under 1 other name. The record is from RNAcentral.
GCCUCCUUAGCUCAGUGGUAGAGCAACGCUCUUGUAAAGCGUAGGUCGUCGGUUCAAUCCCGACAGGGGGCUCCA